RNAcentral lists this ribosomal RNA (289 nucleotides) under uncultured Vibrio sp. RNAcentral's name for it is "partial 16S ribosomal RNA". It matches the Rfam family "Bacterial small subunit ribosomal RNA", at positions 1093 to 1382 of the family's 1533-position model. The record is from RNAcentral. Lineage: Bacteria; Pseudomonadati; Pseudomonadota; Gammaproteobacteria; Vibrionales; Vibrionaceae.
CCAGCGCACCCUUAUCCUUGUUUGCCAGCGAGUAAUGUCGGGAACUCCAGGGAGACUGCCGGUGAUAAACCGGAGGAAGGUGGGGACGACGUCAAGUCAUCAUGGCCCUUACGAGUAGGGCUACACACGUGCUACAAUGGCGCAUACAGAGGGCGGCCAACUUGCGAAAGUGAGCGAAUCCCAAAAAGUGCGUCGUAGUCCGGAUUGGAGUCUGCAACUCGACUCCAUGAAGUCGGAAUCGCUAGUAAUCGUGGAUCAGAAUGCCACGGUGAAUACGUUCCCGGGCCUU